UACGUAGGGGGCUAGCGUUGUCCGGAAUCAUUGGGCGUAAAGCGCGUGUAGGCGGCACGGUAAGUCCGCUGUGAAAGUCGGGGGCUCAACCCUCGAAAGCCGGUGGAUACUGUCGGGCUCGAGUGCGGAAGAGGCGAGUGGAAUUCCUGGUGUAGCGGUGAAAUGCGCAGAUAUCAGGAGGAACACCGAUUGCGAAGGCAGCUCGCUGGGACGUUACUGACGCUGAGACGCGAAAGCGUGGGGAGCAAACAGG
RNAcentral lists this ribosomal RNA (253 nucleotides) under uncultured bacterium. RNAcentral's name for it is "partial 16S ribosomal RNA". It matches the Rfam family "Bacterial small subunit ribosomal RNA", at positions 524 to 776 of the family's 1533-position model. The record is from RNAcentral.